CCGCUCCUUGCAUUAGGUAGUUCUUGUGAGCGAGACGUCAUCAGUUGAUCUAUCUUGUCUCUCAAACCACUGUUGAGAAAGAUUGAAACACUUUUUCUGUUAAGAAGUUGGCGAAUAUCAUGAUUCUCUAGGAAGGGAUCAAGCAUCUCUUGGUAUCUUUCUUGCCUAAGACCUUCCCACUCUUCACGUGGACGAGAAACAUCAUUUAUCCAGUCUUGGUUGGAUUCUAAUUGCUGCUGGUAGUUAGACUGUAGUUCAUCCCAUCCACUUGGCGUGUGCGAAUAAUCACUUACCCAGCCACAAUCACUGUCCACUAGAUUUUGG
Molecule: unclassified non-coding RNA, 324 nt
Filed under: Hevea brasiliensis (rubber tree)
Lineage: Eukaryota; Viridiplantae; Streptophyta; Magnoliopsida; Malpighiales; Euphorbiaceae
Source: RNAcentral